This is a long non-coding RNA of Lactuca sativa (garden lettuce), 1974 nucleotides long. RefSeq lists it as uncharacterized. Lineage: Eukaryota; Viridiplantae; Streptophyta; Magnoliopsida; Asterales; Asteraceae. The record is from RefSeq and is a predicted model, not a curated record.
UUAAAAUUCGUUUAUGUUUUGAAUUCCCCGCACUAGACAAACAUUACUGAAGAUGAAGUUUUGGAAACAAUAAGGAGUAUGUGAAAUUGGCAAAAUAAUGACUACAUAUGUCGAUGACACAUCUUGAACAGUAAAAUGAAGACUACAUAUAUUGUAGACACAUCUUGAGCGGUGUGGCUCACUAAUAGAAAAAUACCCUUUAAUGACACACGAACCAUGACACUCGAUGUUUUAUGAUACGUAAAAGUGUGUGCCCAAAAAAUAAUGUCAGUUCUCCUAAAAUUUGAAGGAUUUAGGAUGCAUAUUUUUGCGUGCCCUAAAAUUAGUGUUACAAAAAAAAACCACGGAGGGCACCUAUCAUAAAAACUGUGACGUGAAAUCAUGUCGUUUGAUUUUAAUGAAACGCGCACAUCGUCAUCUUUAGUAGCAUCGGGAAAAGGAAUUCCCAAAAAAUUAGAAAAGUUGAAAACCUGUGAUGGCGAUUUAGGGUUGGUUCCGUCUCCAUCUCUCGUUCACUUCCACCUCCACUUUCUCUUCCAUCUACAAUAUCUCUUCCAUCAUCCACCUCGCCGGCGAUGAAGGUUUCUCGUGAUUUUUUGUUGUAGUUACAAUCCCUAGGUCCGAUUUCAACCAAUAUCUCGUUCGAUUAACACAAUUCAUCAAACCUAAGAAUCGUAAAGGAAACCUAGCCCCAUAGCUUUCAGUUCACCUCCUCAAAGAUCCUUGGUUUAAAAAAGCAUGCCUUAAAAAAGAACAUCUGCAUUGUUGUGAUGCGUGAGGCGCUCUAAGGUGUUUCAGAAAACACAUCAUGUAAGUGAUGUGAUGCGAUUUCCAAGAUGCACCCUAAUGCAGUCCCUUUGCGUGAUGCGUGUGUAUCUUGCACCUGAUGCGUUCUUUGGGUUUUUUUUAAGCAAUUGUGAUAUAGAGAAAGAAGAUUUUUUAUUGGUAAUUUUCGGCACAAUUCAAAACAAAGGAGGCAGUCCUGUGUAAAUUCUUCGUAUCCACUCAUUGAAAAAGUUUCUUACUUGGUGGUGAUCAAAGAAGAAGAAGAAUUCAAGAAUCUUGAUAAUAGGGUUCAUUCAGGGACACCCAAAAGUUUUCCAUAUCUUUUGGCUUUAAUUCAAGAAGACAUGUUGGAGGAUCGAUCUUUUUUUGUUUCAAGAACCUUCAAAAACGACUGUAACACCACCUGGGGCUUUAUGAGUAAUUUCACAAUCAAAAACACCGAUUAAAAAUUUAGAUGCCGACAAAGAAUAUCCUACCAACGACAUCAAUUGUAGAGCGCGACUCUUCCCUUCUUGUACAACGACCUGUCAACUCAUCCAUGCUUCCUCUUCAUCGCUGCAACGAACCCAAAUCCCCUUGUCUGCCAAUGAUUUCCCCAUGGCGUUCUGUGUGCAUUGAUUAAGGUUUUCACAUUCAUCCCUUCUACUUUGAUAGGUCUGAUACAUUCCUCGAAAAAAGGAAGCAUGGGAGAGAGUAGUUAAGCCAACGACUUUUUUUUUUUCUGAAAAGAUAUGGCAAAUAAAGACAUUGCCAAAAGGCUGCAAUUAAUACUUCAAAUGUUGGGGUGGAAGAGUCCAUGGACUGGUUGCUCUCCCACAUGGAUGAUCUAGAUAUUGAUGCCCCAAUUCAGAAAGAGGCGGGAAACAAUGAUGUUGAUCCAUCAAAGAUUCUAUGUUGGUUUUGUAUGGAUUUGAAGAAGUAUCUAAGAAGUCUUUAAAGGCAUCGGUGGGUGGUGAUAUUGAGAAAGCAACAUAUUGGAUUUUUAAUCACCCUUCGGGCGUAUACAAACUAAACUACUUGUGUUUCUCAAGGAUUCAGUAAUACAGGUAACAACUGCUUUUGGGAAGGGACGCUAAUGCGUCAAUUUCAAACAUAUUAUAUCAUCAUAAUGUAAUUUCUUUUGAAAUAUUUAAUACAAUCAACAAUGUAACUUUUUAUAUUAUAUUUAUGAUGGUUGCGUUUGCUUUC